CGCAGACAGGGCAACUGGUAAGCCGCGUGGCUCAUAACUACGAAAGAACCGGGUUCGAUUCCCGGGGCGCA
RNAcentral lists this transfer RNA (71 nucleotides) under Ensifer meliloti. RNAcentral's name for it is "Sinorhizobium meliloti tRNA-Met". The stretch from base 9 to 65 matches the Rfam family "tRNA", at positions 9 to 63 of the family's 71-position model. Rfam says of the family: Transfer RNA (tRNA) molecules are approximately 80 nucleotides in length. Their secondary structure includes four short double-helical elements and three loops (D, anti-codon, and T loops). Lineage: Bacteria; Pseudomonadati; Pseudomonadota; Alphaproteobacteria; Hyphomicrobiales; Rhizobiaceae. The record is from RNAcentral.